UACAGAGGGGGCAAGCGUUGUUCGGAAUUACUGGGCGUAAAGGGCGCGUAGGCGGCCUUCUAAGUCGAACGUGAAAUCCCUGGGCUCAACCCAGGAACUGCGUCCGAUACUGGGAGGCUUGAAUCCGGGAGAGGGAUGCGGAAUUCCAGGUGUAGCGGUGAAAUGCGUAGAUAUCUGGAGGAACACCGGUGGCGAAGGCGGCAUCCUGGACCGGCAUUGACGCUGAGGAGCGAAAGCGUGGGGAGCGAACAGG
This 253-nucleotide ribosomal RNA is filed under the name uncultured bacterium. RNAcentral's name for it is "partial 16S ribosomal RNA". It matches the Rfam family "Bacterial small subunit ribosomal RNA", at positions 524 to 776 of the family's 1533-position model. The record is from RNAcentral.